This 472-nucleotide ribosomal RNA is filed under the name uncultured bacterium. RNAcentral describes it as "partial 16S ribosomal RNA". It matches the Rfam family "Bacterial small subunit ribosomal RNA", at positions 28 to 507 of the family's 1533-position model. The record is from RNAcentral.
GACGAACGCUGGCGGCGUGCUUAACACAUGCAAGUCGAACGAUGAACCCGGAGCUUGCUCUGGGGGAUUAGUGGCGAACGGGUGAGUAACACGUGAGUAACCUGCCCUGGACUCUGGGAUAAGCGUUGGAAACGACGUCUAAUACCGGAUAGGACCUUGGAUCGCAUGAUCUGGGGUGGAAAGUUUUUUCGGUCUGGGAUGGACUCGCGGCCUAUCAGCUUGUUGGUGAGGUAAUGGCUCACCAAGGCGUCGACGGGUAGCCGGCCUGAGAGGGUGACCGGCCACACUGGGACUGAGACACGGCCCAGACUCCUACGGGAGGCAGCAGUGGGGAAUAUUGCACAAUGAGCGAAAGCCUGAUGCAGCAACGCCGCGUGCGGGAUGACGGCCGUCGGGUUGUAAACCGCUUUUAGUAGGGAAGAAGGGCUUCGGCUUGACGGUACCUGCAGAAAAAGGACCGGCUAACUACGUG